RNAcentral lists this transfer RNA (72 nucleotides) under Anolis carolinensis (green anole). It matches the Rfam family "tRNA". From Rfam's summary of the family: Transfer RNA (tRNA) molecules are approximately 80 nucleotides in length. Lineage: Eukaryota; Metazoa; Chordata; Lepidosauria; Squamata; Anolidae. The record is from Rfam by way of RNAcentral.
GCCAAUGUGACAUAGUGGUUUGAGUGUUGGACUGCUACUCUGGGCGCCAGGGUUUGAAUCCCUGCUUGGCCA